This is a long non-coding RNA of Pieris napi, 322 nucleotides long. RefSeq lists it as uncharacterized. The record is from RefSeq and is a predicted model, not a curated record. Lineage: Eukaryota; Metazoa; Arthropoda; Insecta; Lepidoptera; Pieridae. The transcript is spliced from 2 exons.
AGGGUCGGUUGUUGAACAGUGAACCAACCAGGAACAUUGAACCACCACCAUGUUGAAAAAACUGCGAGGUUGUCAAUUCGACCGAUCGUGUUAAAACUUCUCUCGUAGGCACCCUUCCCCUCUCCCGUAGCUAGCCGGUGGCCGCGGCUUAAGUGUGACGUGUGACAGCGGUUUGUUUGUUUCUCGCCAAAAAAACAUAGAUUUCUCACGAUGCCAAGGCCAAGAAAUAAGGAAAGAAAAAUUGGAAAACACAAUAAAGAGGAUAUGAUGUCAGCAUUACUAAUGAUAGAAAAUGGUAGCUCCAUUAGGACGGCGGCAAAAA